GAUGAACGCUGGCGGCGUGCCUAAUACAUGCAAGUCGAGCGAACGGACGAGAAGCUUGCUUCUCUGAUGUUAGCGGCGGACGGGUGAGUAACACGUGGAUAACCUACCUAUAAGACUGGGAUAACUUCGGGAAACCAGAGCUAAUACCGGAUAAUAUUUUGAACCGCAUGGUUCAAAAGUGCUAGACGGUCUUGCUGUCACUUAUAGAUGGAUCCGCGCUGCAUUAGCUAGUUGGUAAGGUAACGGCUUACCAAGGCAACGAUGCAUAGCCGACCUGAGAGGGUGAUCGGCCACACUGGAACUGAGACACGGUCCAGACUCCUACGGGAGGCAGCAGUAGGGAAUCUUCCGCAAUGGGCGAAAGCCUGACGGAGCAACGCCGCGUGAGUGAUGAAGGUCUUCGGAUCGUAAAACUCUGUUAUUAGGGAAGAAAAUAUGUGUAAGUAACUGUGCACAUCUUGACGGUACCUAAUCAGAAAGCCACGGCUAACUACGUG
RNAcentral lists this ribosomal RNA (497 nucleotides) under uncultured bacterium. RNAcentral describes it as "partial 16S ribosomal RNA". It matches the Rfam family "Bacterial small subunit ribosomal RNA", at positions 28 to 507 of the family's 1533-position model. The record is from RNAcentral.